Molecule: ribosomal RNA, 479 nt
Filed under: uncultured bacterium
Lineage: Bacteria
Description: partial 16S ribosomal RNA
Rfam family: Bacterial small subunit ribosomal RNA
Source: RNAcentral
GACGAACGCUGGCGGCGUGCUUAACACAUGCAAGUCGAACGAAGCUUGAUUACGGAUUCUUCGGAUGAAGUAUGAUAUGACUGAGUGGCGGACGGGUGAGUAACGCGUGAGUAACCUGCCCUUCAGAGGGGGAUAGCGUUUGGAAACGAACGGUAAUACCGCAUAAUGUAUUUUGACCGCAUGAUUGAAAUACCAAAGAUUUAUCGCUGAAGGAUGGACUCGCGUCUGAUUAGGUAGUUGGUGGGGUAACGGCCUACCAAGCCGACGAUCAGUAGCCGGACUGAGAGGUUGAUCGGCCACAUUGGGACUGAGACACGGCCCAGACUCCUACGGGAGGCAGCAGUGGGGAAUAUUGCACAAUGGGCGCAAGCCUGAUGCAGCAACGCCGCGUGAAGGAAGACGGUUUUCGGAUUGUAAACUUCUGUUCUUAGUGAAGAAUAAUGACGGUAGCUAAGGAGCAAGCCACGGCUAACUACGUG